RNAcentral lists this ribosomal RNA (156 nucleotides) under Choanephora cucurbitarum. RNAcentral describes it as "5.8S ribosomal RNA". It matches the Rfam family "5.8S ribosomal RNA". Rfam says of the family: 5.8S ribosomal RNA (5.8S rRNA) is a component of the large subunit of the eukaryotic ribosome. It is transcribed by RNA polymerase I as part of the 45S precursor that also contains 18S and 28S rRNA. Functionally, it is thought that 5.8S rRNA may be involved in ribosome translocation. The record is from RNAcentral. RNAcentral also lists the same sequence under 1 other name. Lineage: Eukaryota; Fungi; Mucoromycota; Mucoromycetes; Mucorales; Choanephoraceae.
CAACUUUUAACAAUGGAUCUCUUGGCUUUUGCAUCGAUGAAGAACGUAGCAAAUUGCGAUAACUAGUGUGAAUUGCAAAUUCAGUGAAUCAUCGAGUCUUUGAACGCAUCUUGCGCUCAUUGGUAUUCCAGUGAGCACGCCUGUUUCAGUAUCAAA